UGGGGCUCUCUUCCUGUUCUCAGCUGUGGGCCAUAGCAAACAGUCCUGAGGCCUGUGCAGACGCCAAGGGAUCCGAGCUCACUGUCCCAGGCCCUACGCAGGUGUUGGAAGAUGGAAGGGAGCAGCCUCAGCCCCAGGAUGUUGCCUGAACUAUUAGAGUGCUUCAAGAGAAACAAAGUGGCGAUUUCUCAUGCGAUAAAAACAACAUUUCCUUUUCUUGAGGGCCUCCGAGACAACAAUUUCAUCACUAGUAAAAUGUAUGAAGAUUUUCAAGAUUCUUGUAGAGCGCUGGUCCCUGUACAGAAAGUGAUCUACAAAGCCCUGGAUGAACUGGAGAAGAAAUUUGACAUAGAGGUCCUUCAUGAAUUGUUCAGUGCUGUCAACUUGAAUAAGUACCCCAAUUUGGAAGUCAUUCGUAGAAGGUUUGAAAAUGUGUUACCGAAUGGAUUUUUUUUCUACAGACAUAAUGGAGGUGAACCAAACUCCCAGCUAAGUCUUGAACCAGGUCCUAGUGGCAGCUGUUCUCAAAGAAGCCUGACCUGGUUACCCUCAGGUCCCUCCUCAUCUGAAGGCUGGAGAAGUAAUGAUAGAAGAAAUUCCAGUCUCAUCCAGGGAAACCAAACUGAGAAUCAUCAACUCUCCAAAUCACCAAAUCACCUUGUUUCAAGUUUGCCUGAAGAUGGCCUCUCGGAAGACCUCUGUGAAAACGAACAUAUUAGCAGAGUGAGAAGAGAUGCCUCCACUAACACGGGCAACAAUACUAAUGAACCAGAAAGGAAACCAACAAUCCUGCCUAGAGGCCCAGGUUCUGUGCCAGAGGACUCCCGUGAACUCCAAGUCCAGCUGAACAACAGGAAUGCUACCACAGAGUCUCGCAGCCUAUUGCCCCAGAAUGAAAAGAUUUCAAGUUUGCCUGAAGAUGGCCUCUCGGAAGACCUCUGUGAAAACGAACAUAUCAGCAGAGUGAGAAAAGAUGCCUCCACUAACACGGGCAACAAUACUAAUGAACCAGAAAGGAAACCAACAAUCCUGCCUAGAGGCCCAGGUUCUGUGCCAGAGGGGGCUGAGCAACUCAACAAUGAAUUCCUGAUAAGUCCCUGUUCUGUGAUUCUGGUAGAUAUAAAGAAUGAAAAUGCAUCAGUUUCUUUGCAUGGUAACCAACAGACUCAAGCAAGGACCAAACAAAAUGAGGACUCUGAGGUAAUAGUACUCAGCAAUGAUAAUUCUGAUGGUGAAGACAACUUCUCAGAAGCCUCCACCUUAUUCCCCUCCCAGCCAGCACCUGCAUAUUCCAGAAAACCUCCCACACAGAGAACAUACAGAAGAGGAGAUACUGCUGAUACCAACAGCUCAAUCAUUAAAAGACUGAAAAGAACAGGGCAAACAAAUGUGCCAUAUACUUGCGAUCCCAUCCCAGUGGACAUGGAGGCAGGAGAAUCCUUGGCCUCACCAACCAACCAGAUCCGCCAACCUGGGAGAAGGAGAGAGAGACAUGGAAACUACUUAAUACGGAACAUCAAAAUCCCAAUUAAAACAAGCUGGAAAACAGCUUUAGCAAGACGUGUCAAUCCUUCUUCACAACAAGGCAGAAGAAGAGGUCGGAGAAUUCCCAGAGAUGACAAUGCGGAUUUUGGAGGCACUGAGCUUCCGGUGAGAUGUGGCAAUGUUGAGGGGACUCUGCAUAAGGAGAAAUUUAAGCAAGGCAUCUACGUGAAGAGUAUCAAGAGUCAGACAGGACGAUGGCUCAAUCCCAUGGAGUUUGAAAUUGAAGGAAACCGUGAAAAAUCCAAGCACUGGAGGCAAAGCAUCCGCUGCAAGGGGUGGACCCUGACAGAACUGAUAAAGAAAGGAGUACUGCAAAACCCACCAAGAACAAAGGUAGCUACAUCCUACAGUCUCCGGCCAUGACAUCUGAGGCUAUUGCCUACGCAUUGUUUGUUUUGCAUCCCCACUUGACUGUAUGCUUUUUAAAAAUCAUCUCAUUUGGAUUUGACCAGAUUUGGAUAUAUCCUAUGGUGCUCACCUAGUUGUGGUUUUACAGUGAUUUGCUUCUUUGAGCAUCAAACGUUUGAGGUAGAGAUGGAACUGACUGAUCUCUUCUGACUUUCAGAAGGAAAUCCCACCAAACCCACGGCGAACAAAGAGAAAGCUGGGAAAUCCAAAAGCAUGUAAAGUAUGCUGCAAACCACGGAAAUUGUACCCUUGUGCU
RNA transcript from Apodemus sylvaticus (European woodmouse), 2209 nucleotides. It is a transcript of the gene named nuclear autoantigen Sp-100-like, with no coding region annotated. NCBI's taxonomy places the organism in Eukaryota, Metazoa, Chordata, Mammalia, Rodentia, Muridae. The record is from RefSeq and is a predicted model, not a curated record. The transcript has 20 exons.